UAUAAAUCCAAAGAAUUUGGGGGUCCGGGUGGCCGAGGCGCUGCGCGGCGACCCUCAAUACUCUGCGAACAUGGCGCUGCGAGCGGCGCGGAGUGUUUGGGCUAUGGCCUGCAACCUGCGCUCCUGGCGGCCGGGUCGGGCGCCGUCCGGACGCUGCGCACUGGACCCCGCUCUGCUCUCAGUGCAUAAAUGUACAGAGAAACAUGAAUGGGUAACAACAGAGAAAGUGGUGUUGGAACAGUGGGAAUCAGCAAUUUUGCGCAGGAAGCUUUGGGAGAUGUUGUUUACUGUAGUCUGCCUGAAGUUGGGACAAAAUUAAACAAACAAGAUGAAUUUGGUACUCUGGAAAGUGUGAAAGCUGCUAGUGAACUCUAUUCUCCUUUAUCAGGAGAAGUAACUGAAAUUAAUGAAGCUCUGGCAGAAAACCCUGGACUUGUUAACAAAUCUUGUUAUGAAGAUGGUUGGCUGAUCAAGAUGACACUGAGUAACCCUUCAGAACUAGAUGAACUAAUGAGUGAAGAAGCAUAUGAGAAAUACAUAAAAUCUAUUGAGGAGUGAAAAUGGAACCCCUAAAUAAACUAGUGUGAAAAAACUUAA
This is an RNA transcript of Lemur catta (Ring-tailed lemur), 597 nucleotides long. It is a transcript of the gene named glycine cleavage system H protein, mitochondrial-like, with no coding region annotated. The record is from RefSeq and is a predicted model, not a curated record. The transcript has a single exon. Lineage: Eukaryota; Metazoa; Chordata; Mammalia; Primates; Lemuridae.